GGGGUUGAGGCUCAGAGGUAGAGCGCUUGCUUAGCAUGCAUGAGCACUGGGUUCGAUCCUCAGCACCACA
Molecule: transfer RNA, 70 nt
Filed under: Marmota monax (woodchuck)
Lineage: Eukaryota; Metazoa; Chordata; Mammalia; Rodentia; Sciuridae
Description: tRNA.Ala
Rfam family: tRNA
About the family: Transfer RNA (tRNA) molecules are approximately 80 nucleotides in length. Their secondary structure includes four short double-helical elements and three loops (D, anti-codon, and T loops).
Source: RNAcentral